GUCCCGGUAGCUCAGCUGGCAGAGCACAUGGCUGUUAACCAUGGGGUCGGAGGUUCGAGUCCUCCCCGGGACG
RNAcentral lists this transfer RNA (73 nucleotides) under Candidatus Pacearchaeota archaeon. Its description in RNAcentral is "tRNA-Asn". It matches the Rfam family "tRNA". Rfam says of the family: Transfer RNA (tRNA) molecules are approximately 80 nucleotides in length. Their secondary structure includes four short double-helical elements and three loops (D, anti-codon, and T loops). Further hydrogen bonds mediate the characteristic L-shaped molecular structure. tRNAs have two regions of fundamental functional importance: the anti-codon, which is responsible for specific mRNA codon recognition, and the 3' end, to which the tRNAs corresponding amino acid is attached (by aminoacyl-tRNA synthetases). tRNAs cope with the degeneracy of the genetic code in two manners: having more than one tRNA (with a specific anti-codon) for a particular amino acid; and 'wobble' base-pairing, i.e. permitting non-standard base-pairing at the 3rd anti-codon position. Lineage: Archaea; Nanobdellati. The record is from RNAcentral.